This is a non-coding RNA of Malus domestica (apple), 2264 nucleotides long. The record is from RefSeq and is a predicted model, not a curated record. NCBI's taxonomy places the organism in Eukaryota, Viridiplantae, Streptophyta, Magnoliopsida, Rosales, Rosaceae.
AUGAAGCAGUACAGUGAUAGGAAACGAACUGAAAGGCAUUUCGAAGUGGGUGAGUUUGUGUACUUGAAAUUGGUGUCUUAUCAGUUGCAAGCUUUAGCACCACAUAGCUACCACAAGUUGCAGCUAAGAUACUAUGGACCCUAUGAAAUCGUGGCAAAGGUAGGAUUGGUUGCCUACAAGUUAAAGUUACCUCUUGAAACCAAAAGACACAGACCUCCCCACCCUCAGAUCCUCACAAACCCUCAAAACACCAAUACGAUUGUGGAGUUGCAAGCUCUGAAAAUCCAGAAAUACAACUAUUUAGCAGGCCCGGCCCAGGCCCAGUGCCACAGGGGCAACUCGGAAGCUGGAAGACAGCAGCAUCAGCAUCCUACUAGCCAAGCAGAAGCUCAGGAAAUCGCCGCCCGACUCGUAAGCGACGCCGAGUCAAAGCGUCCUCGACUCGAGGAGGAGCAGCCCUACCGCCAACCCAGCCCCGUCUACAACCCUCCUCCUUACCCUGUUUUUACCCCGCAAUCAGGACAGUCUUAUGGUUCUCCAAGCACAAGCAAGAAAAUAACCAUACCAAAUGGGAAGGUUGGGGUAAUCAUUGGAAAACAAGGAGAAACGAUAAAAAGUCUACAACUUCAGUCAGGGGCCAAAAUUCAGAUAACCCGGGAUUCGGAAGCUGAUCCUACUUCUCUUACGAGGGAUGUGGACUUGACCGGUCACCUGAGCAGAUCAGUAGGGCAGAACAACUUAUCAGUGAUGUCCUAGCAGAGGCAGAUGCAGGGGUCUCUGCUCCGUCUACAAAUCAGGGAUUCAACUCAAUGCAACCUGGAUCAGAACAGUUUAUCAUGAAAGUACCCACUAAUAAGGUUGCUUUGAUCAUUGGCAAGGGAGGUGAGACGAUCAGGACUAUGCAAAGCAAGUCAGGAGCUCGUAUUCAGGUGGUACCAUUGCACCCUCCUCCUGGUGAUAUGUCAACUGAGAGAUCAGUACAUAUAAAUGGAACGACAGAGCAAAUUGAGGCAGCCAAAGAAUUGGUCAAUGAAGUAAUCAGCGGGAAGCGUAUAGUAAAUCCCUCUGGAACCAAUAGCUAUAUGCAGCAGUCUUACCCCCCUCCUGGUGGUUGGGCCCCACCAGGACAAGCUCCAAUUCAGCAACAGCAGCCCCAUUAUGGGUAUGCACAACCAGGAAGUUAUGCCCCUCCUGCCUCAUACUACGGAAACUAUCCUACACAGGUAGCAGGUUGGGAUCAUUCAAACCAAGUAGCCACGUCUCAGCCGCCUCAAGACAGUAGUGGAUACAAUUACUAUGGACAACCACCUCAGCUGGGGUCAGCUCCCCAAAAUCCUAACUACAACUACAAUCAGACACCUCCCGUCGCCAUCCAUGGUUAUGAUCAGGGAUAUGCUCAGCAGCCAGCAAGUUAUGGAGGCCAAGCUCCAGGAUCUGAUUACCAGCAACAGUACGCAACUACAGGAUAUGGACCACCUGCGGUGCCAUCCAGUGCGGAUGCAACUGCUUCUCAAAGUACCCAGCCUUCAGCUGCUUAUCCAGUUCCGUACAGCCAGCCAACAGCCAACCCUCAGGCUGGGUAUUGGACUCAUCCAAGCAGCACAGGUCAAGCACAUCCUGGUUAUUACCAAACAGGUUAUGGAGGGCAGCAGGGGGUUGAAGACCCUUCUGCAGCAUCUCAGCCCGCAGCAUAUGGACACGGUGAGUACCAUCAGCCAGAGCCUUCCCAUUAUGCCCCAGCAGUGAAUCCGCCUACAAACAGCGAGUCACAGCAUCAGCAGCAAGACCACUCACAGCUUCCAAGCAAUGGAUACGAAGAGCCAUCAGGUUAUGGUGGGGAAAGAACCGGCGACAAGAAUUCAGAUGGAGAUGCGUCGGCCCCUGCAACAGAGACUGUUGGUUCUGAAAGUUGAUAUCGCUCUCACAUAUUUCCUUCUGUUCUUUCUCUUUUCUUUCUUGAAAUGAUUUUUGAUAUUGCUCUCACAUACCAUCUGUGUGGCUGCAGGACAUUAUAUUUCUAGUCUUAACAUGUAGGAAUAUCUUGCUAGACAGCCGUUUAUUGUGUUCAUAUGUGAUGAUUAGCCGUCAACCGGCUGUCCAGGAGUCGCUGUUUUGGGGAUCUCUAGUUGUAUGUUAAUUUAAUUUCGUAAUACUUUCAGUCCCAAGGUCCAUGAAAUAUUUGUAAUCGAAUGGCGCCAUAAGAGCACGAAGGUAAUUUUUGUUGUUUGGUGAAUGCAUAAGACAGUUUGCCCGCGUUUGAUGUA